AACAGGUCCCCUGUCCCCCUACCAACGCUUCACCCCCAGAUCACCAAGGGGAAGCUCCAUGGCUCCAUCGAUGUCCGGCUGUCGGUCAUGUCCAUCAACAAAAAGGCCCAGCGCAUUGACCUUGACACUGAAGACAACAUCUACCACCUCAAGAUCAAAUCCCAGGACCUAUUCCAGAGCUGGGUGGCGCAGCUGCGUGCCCACCGCCUAGCCCACCGCCUGGACAUGCCCCGUGGCUCACUGCCCAGUACUGCUCACCGGAAGGUUCCUGGUGCCCAGCUUCCAACAGCAGCUACUGCCUCAGCCCUACCUGGGCUUGGACCGCGGGAGAAAGUGUCUUCCUGGCUGAGGGACAGUGAUGGGCUGGACCGCUGCUCUCAUGAGCUCUCUGAGUGUCAGGGGAAGCUCCAGGAACUACACAGGCUCCUCCAGAGCCUGGAGUCCCUGCACCGAAUCCCCUCAGCCCCUGUUAUCCCCACACACCAGGCCUCAGUGACAACCGAAAGACCCAAGAAGGGGAAACGGACCAGCCGCAUGUGGUGCACCCAGAGCUUUGCCAAGGAUGACACCAUUGGACGGGUUGGUCGUCUCCACGGCUCUGUUCCCAACCUGUCUCGCUACCUGGAGUCUCGGGACUCCUCAGGCACCCGUGGGCUGCCACCCACAGACUAUGCCCACCUGCAGCGCA
This 688-nucleotide small RNA is filed under the name Pongo abelii (Sumatran orangutan). RNAcentral's name for it is "retained intron". Lineage: Eukaryota; Metazoa; Chordata; Mammalia; Primates; Hominidae. The record is from RNAcentral.